Molecule: ribosomal RNA, 274 nt
Filed under: uncultured bacterium
Lineage: Bacteria
Description: partial 16S ribosomal RNA
Rfam family: Bacterial small subunit ribosomal RNA
Source: RNAcentral
AUACGUAUGGUGCAAACGUUGUUCGGAAUCACUGGGCUUAAAGCGGGCGUAGGCGGUUUGGUCAGUCCGUUGUGAAAGCCCUCGGCUCAACCGAGGAAUUGCAACGGAUACUACCAAGCUAGAGUGCAGGAGGGGUGAGUGGAACUCCUGGUGGAGCGGUGAAAUGCGUAGAUAUCAGGAGGAACACCAGUGGCGAAAGCGACUCACUGGGCCAUUUCUGACGCUGAGGUGCGAAAGCUAGGGUAGCGAACGGGAUUAGAAACCCCGGUAGUCC